GCUUGUCGAUCAUGCUGACGGUGCUCGGCUUCAAUCUGAUCGGGGACGGCCUGCGCGAUGU
RNAcentral lists this small RNA (61 nucleotides) under Paenibacillus sp. P22. RNAcentral's name for it is "Pseudomonas sRNA P10". The record is from RNAcentral. Lineage: Bacteria; Bacillati; Bacillota; Bacilli; Caryophanales; Paenibacillaceae.